RNAcentral lists this ribosomal RNA (443 nucleotides) under uncultured bacterium. Its description in RNAcentral is "partial 16S ribosomal RNA". It matches the Rfam family "Bacterial small subunit ribosomal RNA", at positions 338 to 795 of the family's 1533-position model. The record is from RNAcentral.
CCUACGGGAGGCAGCAGUGGGGGAUAUUGGACAAUGGGGGAAACCCUGAUCCAGCGACGCCGCGUGAGUGAAGAAGUAUUUCGGUAUGUAAAGCUCUGUCAGCAGGGAAGUAAGAAAUGACGGUACCUGACCAAGAAGCCUCGGCUAACUACGUGCCAGCAGCCGCGGUAAUACGUAGGGGGCAAGCGUUAUCCGGAAUUACUGGGUGUAAAGGGAGCGUAGACGGUUAAGUAAGUCUGGUGUGAAAGGACGGGGCCCAACCCCGGGACUGCACUGGAAACUAGUAAACUUGAGUGCAGGAGAGGUGAGCGGAAUUCGUGGUGUAGCGGUGAAAUGCGUAGAUAUUAGGAAGAACACCGGUGGCGAAGGCAGCUUACUGGACUGUAACUGACGUUGAGGCUCGAAAGCGUGGGGAGCAAACAGGAUUAGAUACCCCUGUAGUC